AUUGAACGCUGGCGGCAGGCUUAACACAUGCCAGUCGAACGGUAGCAGGAGAAAUCUUGCUUUCUUGCUUACGAGAGGCGUACGGGAGAGUAAUGCUUGCGACUCUGGCUUAUGGAGGGGGAUAACUACGGGAAACUGUAUCUAAUACCGCGUAAUAUCCUCGGAUUAAAGAAUUGGACUUUUAGCCAUUCGCUAUAAGGUGAGCCCAAGUGGGAUUAGGUAGUUGGUGGGGUAAAGGCCUACCAAGCCGACGAUCUCUAGCUGGUCUGAGAGGAUGACCAGCCACACUGGAACUGAGACACGGUCCAGACUCCUACGGGAGGCAGCAGUGGGGAAUAUUGCGCAAUGGGGGCAACCCUGACGCAGCCAUGCCGCGUGAAUGAAGAAGGCCUUCGGGUUGUAAAGUUCUUUCGGUGGUGGGGAAGGCUAAUAUGUUAAUAGCAUAUUAGAUUGACGUUAGCCACAGAAGAAGCACCGGCUAACUCCGUG
This 489-nucleotide ribosomal RNA is filed under the name uncultured bacterium. Its description in RNAcentral is "partial 16S ribosomal RNA". It matches the Rfam family "Bacterial small subunit ribosomal RNA", at positions 30 to 507 of the family's 1533-position model. The record is from RNAcentral.